CCUACGGGAGGCAGCAGUGGGGAAUUUUGGACAAUGGGGGCAACCCUGAUCCAGCAAUGCCGCGUGAGUGAAGAAGGCCUUCGGGUUGUAAAGCUCUUUUGUCAGGGAAGAAACAGCAGCUCUAACACAGACUGCGAAUGACGGUACCUGAAGAAUAAGCACCGGCUAACUACGUGCCAGCAGCCGCGGUAAUACGUAGGGUGCGAGCGUUAAUCGGAAUUACUGGGCGUAAAGCGUGCGCAGGCGGUUACACAAGACAGGCGUGAAAUCCCCGGGCUUAACCUGGGAAUGGCGUCUGUGACUGUAUAGCUAGAGUGUGUCAGAGGGGGGUGGAAUUCCACGUGUAGCAGUGAAAUGCGUAGAUAUGUGGAGGAACACCAAUGGCGAAGGCAGCCCCCUGGGAUAACACUGACGCUCAUGCACGAAAGCGUGGGGAGCAAACAGGAUUAGAUACCCUGGUAGUCCACGCCCUAAACGAUGCUGACUAGUUGUUGGGAAUUUACAUUCUCAGUAACGUAGCUAACGCGUGAAGUCAGCCGCCUGGGGAGUACGGUCGCAAAGAUUAAAAACUCAAAAGGAAUUGACGG
This 587-nucleotide ribosomal RNA is filed under the name uncultured bacterium. RNAcentral describes it as "bacterial SSU rRNA". It matches the Rfam family "Bacterial small subunit ribosomal RNA", at positions 338 to 916 of the family's 1533-position model. The record is from RNAcentral.